This 1446-nucleotide ribosomal RNA is filed under the name Lactiplantibacillus sp. Its description in RNAcentral is "bacterial SSU rRNA". The record is from RNAcentral. Lineage: Bacteria; Bacillati; Bacillota; Bacilli; Lactobacillales; Lactobacillaceae.
UGCAAGUCGAACGAACUCUGGUAUUGAUUGGUGCUUGCAUCAUGAUUUACAUUUGAGUGAGUGGCGAACUGGUGAGUAACACGUGGGAAACCUGCCCAGAAGCGGGGGAUAACACCUGGAAACAGAUGCUAAUACCGCAUAACAACUUGGACCGCAUGGUCCGAGCUUGAAAGAUGGCUUCGGCUAUCACUUUUGGAUGGUCCCGCGGCGUAUUAGCUAGAUGGUGGGGUAACGGCUCACCAUGGCAAUGAUACGUAGCCGACCUGAGAGGGUAAUCGGCCACAUUGGGACUGAGACACGGCCCAAACUCCUACGGGAGGCAGCAGUAGGGAAUCUUCCACAAUGGACGAAAGUCUGAUGGAGCAACGCCGCGUGAGUGAAGAAGGGUUUCGGCUCGUAAAACUCUGUUGUUAAAGAAGAACAUAUCUGAGAGUAACUGUUCAGGUAUUGACGGUAUUUAACCAGAAAGCCACGGCUAACUACGUGCCAGCAGCCGCGGUAAUACGUAGGUGGCAAGCGUUGUCCGGAUUUAUUGGGCGUAAAGCGAGCGCAGGCGGUUUUUUAAGUCUGAUGUGAAAGCCUUCGGCUCAACCGAAGAAGUGCAUCGGAAACUGGGAAACUUGAGUGCAGAAGAGGACAGUGGAACUCCAUGUGUAGCGGUGAAAUGCGUAGAUAUAUGGAAGAACACCAGUGGCGAAGGCGGCUGUCUGGUCUGUAACUGACGCUGAGGCUCGAAAGUAUGGGUAGCAAACAGGAUUAGAUACCCUGGUAGUCCAUACCGUAAACGAUGAAUGCUAAGUGUUGGAGGGUUUCCGCCCUUCAGUGCUGCAGCUAACGCAUUAAGCAUUCCGCCUGGGGAGUACGGCCGCAAGGCUGAAACUCAAAGGAAUUGACGGGGGCCCGCACAAGCGGUGGAGCAUGUGGUUUAAUUCGAAGCUACGCGAAGAACCUUACCAGGUCUUGACAUACUAUGCAAAUCUAARAGAUUAGACGUUCCCUUCGGGGACAUGGAUACAGGUGGUGCAUGGUUGUCGUCAGCUCGUGUCGUGAGAUGUUGGGUUAAGUCCCGCAACGAGCGCAACCCUUAUUAUCAGUUGCCAGCAUUAAGUUGGGCACUCUGGUGAGACUGCCGGUGACAAACCGGAGGAAGGUGGGGAUGACGUCAAAUCAUCAUGCCCCUUAUGACCUGGGCUACACACGUGCUACAAUGGAUGGUACAACGAGUUGCGAACUCGCGAGAGUAAGCUAAUCUCUUAAAGCCAUUCUCAGUUCGGAUUGUAGGCUGCAACUCGCCUACAUGAAGUCGGAAUCGCUAGUAAUCGCGGAUCAGCAUGCCGCGGUGAAUACGUUCCCGGGCCUUGUACACACCGCCCGUCACACCAUGAGAGUUUGUAACACCCAAAGUCGGUGGGGUAACCUUUUAGGAACCAGCCGCCUAAGGUGGAC